UUUAAAUUGUGAUGACUUUGGAAUAUUGUUCCUUAUUAGGUAAAGUAAUUUAAAAACCAAGGUUUAUAAACUCAAGCUUGUAACUUCCCAAAGGCAAAUUCUCUUUGCUUCAUAGGUAUGCCUGAAUUUAACAAAUGAGGCAUUUAACUAACAAAAUGUUUUUCUUUUUCUCCUUGGGCUUAAAAUACAGGGUCAAAAGGCAGUGGUACAUCAGAUAAUAGAAAACAUCUCUUAAAAAGCUUACUUUUAAAAACUAAAUGAGAUAGCAGCUUAAAAUUCAUAGACAAUGUAAUUUGAAGGUUAAAGAGCUACAUUAAUUCUCAAAGAGCUAAUGCGUCAUGAAUGACAGUGACUGAUAUAUACUGUAUUGGUCCAGCAGCAGCCUAAAGUGCAUACCAGCCCUUACAAUGCAGGUGUACCAAGGCUGGUGACAGGUGGUGUUAUGUGUGACUAGAAAGAAGGAAGAAGAAGGCAGAAGAAGGCAGACUGCAGUUUAAUGGGUUUAAAAAUGAAAAUAGUCUUCAGAAAAGUUUUAUUUUCCUUGCUAUCUCAAACUAUAAAGGCCAAGUUAAAUCUACCUUACUACACAACAUGCAAAGUGUUGUGUUUGGGGAUUUCAGGUGGUUCUAGUCAACCACCUUCCUCAGGGGCAACUUCUCUCCUUUCAGUUUGCCUCUUCGGUCUGGGUCAGUUACCAGGUGUGCCUUUCACAAAAGGAGUUAAAGCUAUUCUUGUGAGGGUAAGCUAUGUUUUAAGGUUUAUGAAAGCUGCAUCUGCGCUGACAUAGCCAUCUCUCCCGGAAACACCUGGGUCAGGCUGCCUCACAGACCUCCUACCUGACGUCUAGUAUUGGCCCUGUGAGAUACUUUUGUGGGCCUGUGGCUAUCAUUCUUGUAUAGUAUACUGUACAAAGGAUAUGGCAUUUUAAUGAGUCUGAGUAAGGCCGGGAAGUUAUGAUGAAACAAAUGAAGGCAGGGUCAUUUGUGUUUAAUUCAUUUAAUCCUUAGGAUGGCCCAGUUAUUUCAUGGGCCAUUCUGUAUUACAGUUGUAAAUAGGCCAAAGUAGAGUGAAUACUUCAGUCCAAUCUUUCAACUACUUCAAGAAAAACAACCUGAUUGAAUCAAUUGUACUAACUUCAUGAUUCAAGGUGAAGAAACUAAGAAUCAGAGGAGUUCUAACUGAGCCAUGAGGACUCGAUUCCUGAAAACCUUAUUUAUAAAAAACAGGAAUGGGAACUAAAACAAGGCAACCUGUGCAAGCCCUUACAAGUUUUUCAUGUAUUACAGUAAAAGGUAAAGCAACUUAAAAACCACUUGACAUUUUUUAACAUUUGUAAAAUUUUGUAAUGCACAGUUGUCUCUCAUUUACCAUCCCUUGCUAGAAACUUCUUAGGCUCACCCUUCACUGCAUUUCCAACAUUAUUUUGCUGAUAAUGUAUACGCCCAAGUGACAUGUUUUCAUUUGGCUUAACUUUCAAUGCCUUUUUGAUUUUAUGAUCUAGUCCUUUAUUGCUGGACCCUUGAAUUGUAUCUAGUCUUCUGCUAUUACAAAAAAUGCUGAAUCAAAUAAACCUGAACAUGUAACAUCA
Molecule: long non-coding RNA, 1588 nt
Filed under: Homo sapiens (human)
Lineage: Eukaryota; Metazoa; Chordata; Mammalia; Primates; Hominidae
Description: HSALNT0356598
Source: RNAcentral